Molecule: long non-coding RNA, 3033 nt
Filed under: Marmota monax (woodchuck)
Lineage: Eukaryota; Metazoa; Chordata; Mammalia; Rodentia; Sciuridae
Source: RNAcentral
GAUGAAUUGUCUGUUUGACAAUAUGUUUAAUAUUUUACCAAAUGGGAAAGAUAAGGGCCCUUAUGAAGAGCCCUAAUGUCUAACCUGGGUGUCUGUAGAAUACAGAUUUUUGAACUUGGUGUGUCUUUUUGAAACCUGAUAAUGAGGUUGGGUUGACAAGGACUCUAGAGCAGAUUUAUGCAUCAGAUGUUGGUAACCAUGCUUCGUGAGCAUUCCUGUGCUAAACUUCUAUUUUCAGGGGAUGGGAUGGUUUCUCAUUUAAUUUCAAAAUGUUUGAAGUAUCUAAGAAUAUGUCUGUGUAUUUGCAACUCUAUCUAUUUUUUAAGUAUGAUAUAAUUCCUUUUGUUUAAGUUACAGAGCUAUAAUAAACAAAAAAGCCCUCAACUGGUGUCUAUGCUACCAUUCCAAGAGCACAAUAUUUGCUUUAUUAGAGUUUGAUUUUUCCUAGUGAGUGAAUUCCUCCCUGGGGAAAAAUGAGCACUUUAAAAGGAGCACUUUGUGUUUUAGAUUGCCAAAUGAUCUUUGUGUACAGUUAGAAUCUGCUAAUGCGCACAGAAAGAUGUUAAUGCACUUUCUGAAUUGCCUAACUUCAGGUGUAUCUAGAAUGGAAAGAAAAGUACGUGAUAUAGAUUAUGUAUAUAUAGAUAAAUUGGAGACCCAGAUUUCUUCAGAGAUUGCUCUUGUACAUAGAUCACAGUAAUAAUGGAUGGACGAUACUUCCUUAUUCUAAUUGUUAUGUUACUCAGAGUUAGCAUAGAUGUUCUGACAGUGUUAUAGGGCACAUGUGAAUAAGAGCAAAUCAGUUUUGAUACUGAAAUUAAGAAACGCAAAUGCCAAGACCAGAACGCAGUCCUUUAAAAAAAAAUCCUAAAAGAUGUACAUAGGGUGACCAGUUCUGGUAGUUGGUCAUGAUGCAUGGGGUGUUUAUAAAUAAGUAUCCUUUAAUGAACCUAGUAUAAAGUAUGUAUUAUAUACUUACAUGAUAGCUCAGUGUUGUAAAAGGACUACAGAAAUAGGUAAAUAAUGUUUAUUUUGGAGGAAUAAAUAUACAUUUUCACUCAAUUAAGCUUAUUUAAAAUCAUACCGGAUUCUUAAUUUUGAGUUUAUUCAUUUUUUCUAUACAGUUUAACUUUAAAUACCAAAAGUAUCAUAAUUUUAGCCAUUUAAAUUUCAAUAAAUACAUAUUAUCUAUACCCCAAUGAUUCAAAUGUAUGAAUUGCCAAGAUCAUUGUAAUGUCAUGUGUAGCUAAUAAAAAAAAAAAAAAACAUUAUCAAAGGCUUUAGUGAAGAAAUCUAAAGGGAAGGAAUGUCAAAGACAAUCAGAAGAUAGGGAAGUAAGAACCUUUUGGAAAACCAUCAAAAUUUCUUAAAGACUUUAAAAAUGUCUAUGUAUAGAGCCAUAUCAAACAUGUAUUUUGAACCCUUUGAGCUUGAUAUAUUAGUAAGUUAUUUUGAAAUAUAGUAAAGAUAUUUACAGAAAACUUUCUUGCCCAUCUAUUUUACAUUGACAGUUUAUGACCCUAACCUUCAAAGUAUAUUUUAUCAACACUUAGAGUGUUUUUUUCAGUUUAUAAAUUUCUGAUCAAUAUAUAAUGUCCUCCCGAGAAAACAAUAUAUAAUCUGUAAAAAAUUUUAGUAACUUCUCACCUGGUACAGUUGCAAACUGAUAACUGAAAACUUGCUUCAGAUCUUCUCUGAAACACUUAACAAUAUCCUUGCAUCACAUAACAGUGUACAGGGUAAUAAGUAUUAUUUCCAAAUAUCAGACUUUUCAGUCUUUAUAAGAAUUUUUUUAAAUUAUUGUUCUUACAGCUGUAGUCCUAUAGUUCCCAGUGACAUCUCUGCAGAUUCAUUCAAGGAGAUGCUCUAGACUUUGACUAAUGAAACCAGUGUGGAAGACAAAGUGCUACCUAACUGGUAACAUAUCUCAGUGUGCGACAAAUCUGAUUACUAUGACUUAAGCUCUAUGUAAGGAAAAAGGAUGUUAUUAAGUGCUAAAGAAAAUAACCAAAUAUAGCAUUUUUAGUACAUAUGCAAACUCAAAAUUUAUCAUAUAUUUCUCUUUUCUGUUGGCAGAAAUUUAAGAAUUUUAAAGCUGCUGAUUUAUACCUAUGCGUUGUCAUAACAUUCUAGCUUUUAAAUAGUUAUGUUGUGUUUCUGUCCUAGGUUUGAAUACAUUUCCUUCUCAUAAAGCUCUAACCCUUAUUGCUGUAUUCAGAUGAUGUGAUACACAAUGCUUACAAAUGGAAAUGUAUGUCCACAGAUUCACAUUUAGAAUACAGUGUGAAAGAUCAAGAACUUAGAAUAACAAAUUUGAUUUCAAGUUAGAUUUCUUUUUAGAGAGGAGGGGUACCAGAAAUUGAACCCAGGGGACUUACCCACUGAGCCAUAGCUCCAGCCCUUUUCAUUUUUUAUUUUGAGACAGGGUCUCACUAAGUUGCUGAGGCUGGCUUUGAACUUGGGAUCCUCCUGCCUCAGCCUUCUGAGUUGCUGGGAUUACAGGCUUGUGCCACCAAGCCUGGCUCAAAUUACAUUUCUGACUUCUGUGAUGGUGAGCAAAUCAUUUUUUCUGUCUGAGUCUGUUUUCUCAUCUGCAAAUGAAGAAUAUUAGUUUACAGGUUGGCAAUGAUUAAAUAAAAUAAAAUUAAAUAAAAAGAAUAGUGUUACAUGUAAUAUUUUAUCAAAGUUUUUCAGCUCAAUAGUAAUUGCUACUUUUCACGAAUAUCUGUGGGUUUUUGUUUGUUUGUUUAAAACUAAAACAGUGUUACCUUGAAUAUUUGCAAAACAUACUUUGGAAAUUUAACUAAUUAAUUAUCCAGAAAAAUAUAACCAAGCUUAUUUUAAGAUGGAAGAUUAUAACAAUACUAUUGUUUUGUUCAAUAAUAUGAUUCAAAACCACUAUUUUAAUUUUAACAAUUUCUCACCUUAUCUGUAAUCUAGAAAAAUUUCUUCAGUCACACAUAUACACAGAUAUAUGUGUGUGUGUGUGUGUGUGUGUAUAUAUAUAUAUAUAUAUGUAUAUACACAUACAUA